RNAcentral lists this ribosomal RNA (743 nucleotides) under uncultured bacterium. RNAcentral describes it as "bacterial SSU rRNA". It matches the Rfam family "Bacterial small subunit ribosomal RNA", at positions 94 to 823 of the family's 1533-position model. The record is from RNAcentral.
AGCGGCGGAUGGGUGAGUAACACGUGGGGAACCUGCCCCUAAGUCUGGGAUACCAUUUGGAAAUAGGUGCUAAUACCGGAUAAUAAAGCAGAUCGCAUGAUCAGCUUUUGAAAGGCGGCGUAAGCUGUCGCUAAGGGAUGGCCCCGCGGUGCAUUAGCUAGUUGGUAAGGUAACGGCUUACCAAGGCGACGAUGCAUAGCCGAGUUGAGAGACUGAUCGGCCACAUUGGGACUGAGACACGGCCCAAACUCCUACGGGAGGCAGCAGUAGGGAAUCUUCCACAAUGGACGCAAGUCUGAUGGAGCAACGCCGCGUGAGUGAAGAAGGUUUUCGGAUCGUAAAGCUCUGUUGUUGGUGAAGAAGGAUAGAGGUAGUAACUGGCCUUUAUUUGACGGUAAUCAACCAGAAAGUCACGGCUAACUACGUGCCAGCAGCCGCGGUAAUACGUAGGUGGCAAGCGUUGUCCGGAUUUAUUGGGCGUAAAGCGAGCGCAGGCGGAAAAAUAAGUCUAAUGUGAAAGCCCUCGGCUUAACCGAGGAACUGCAUCGGAAACUGUUUUUCUUGAGUGCAGAAGAGGAGAGUGGAACUCCAUGUGUAGCGGUGGAAUGCGUAGAUAUAUGGAAGAACACCAGUGGCGAAGGCGGCUCUCUGGUCUGCAACUGACGCUGAGGCUCGAAAGCAUGGGUAGCGAACAGGAUUAGAUACCCUGGUAGUCCAUGCCGUAAACGAUGAGUGCUAAGUGU